Molecule: ribosomal RNA, 496 nt
Filed under: uncultured bacterium
Lineage: Bacteria
Description: partial 16S ribosomal RNA
Rfam family: Bacterial small subunit ribosomal RNA
Source: RNAcentral
AUGAACGCUGGCGGCGUGCCUAAUACCUGCACGUCGAGCGAACAGAUGAGGAGCUUGCUCCUCUGACGUUAGCGGCGGACGGGUGAGUAACACGUGGAUAACCUACCUAUAAGACUGGGAUAACUUCGGGAAACCGGAGCUAAUACCGGAUAAUAUAUUGAACCGCAUGGUUCAAUAGUGAAAGACGGUUUUGCUGUCACUUAUAGAUGGAUCCGCGCCGCAUUAGCUAGUUGGUAAGGUAACGGCUUACCAAGGCAACGAUGCGUAGCCGACCUGAGAGGGUGAUCGGCCACACUGGAACUGAGACACGGUCCAGACUCCUACGGGAGGCAGCAGUAGGGAAUCUUCCGCAAUGGGCGAAAGCCUGACGGAGCAACGCCGCGUGAGUGAUGAAGGUCUUCGGAUCGUAAAACUCUGUUAUUAGGGAAGAACAAAUGUGUAAGUAACUAUGCACGUCUUGACGGUACCUAAUCAGAAAGCCACGGCUAACUACGUG